UGCAUUUCAGAGGUGGGCGUGCGACAGUAGUGGAGAUGGGCUGUUGGGCAGUUGUAUGUUGGAUGCUUAUGAGAAACAAAGGAAAAGGAGUACGUACCUGCAGUCGCUGGCAAUGAGGGCGAGGCCACUCGUACUGAAGCCAUCGCAGCAGACGCUAACGAGCUCUUUGAAGGAGGGGAAGGACUCGGCAAGGAGGGCCAGAUCGUCGUACGUGAUGGACAUGCUCUGGGUUUGGAAUGCAGGAAAUUUUGCUUCGCAUUGGCACACUUGGAUGGACCCCUGCCUCCAACUUCACUUUCUCCCAGGCGCUCCCAGUAUCACCAACUGUGCCACUUGUGAAACCCAAAUUGGUUGCCUAUUCACUGCCACAAAUAAGAAGUUGAAGCCAAGAUUGUUUUCGGGGAUUAGGAGUUCUCAAGUUGCUGAUGGCAUGCAGUAACAGUGAAAUGUUGAGGUUCUUGCAACUGUGGCUGAAACUGACCAACCGAAAUGGUGUGAGGUUGCCAUGUUGGAAAACUCAAUCUCUCUGUUAAAGUUGUUCGAUGCGUCCUUAACUGUGUUAAGACACACUUUGCUAUGGGUACGGGUCUUGCUACGGGCAUUUAGGAGGGGGCACAGAUCAAUGAAUAUAUGUAUGCAUAGAUAGAGAAAGGGAGAUAUGAGCUGUUUACUACCUACAGCAGAAAGGCGACGGAUAUUCAUGCAAAUACAAACUGCAACUCCGGCCAGCUCUGACAUGAUCUCCAAACUGCAGCUACAGGUUGAAGCCUUCAUAGCAAGAGAAGAACCCAAAAUAGAUAACUCAAUGCCCGGCCUUAGAGCCAUAUGGUUCAAGCCCCAUGCAACAGAUGCACCCUUGUCUGCCAUUUUAGGUCCUCCUUCACCAGUCUCUUGCCCAAGCUAUCAACGUGCACUUUGGUGGAAGACAUGACCUAAAGAGAAUGCUACUAGGGUGCAAAGGAUAUAGUAUCAAAGUUCUGGCAUCAGGCCCGAAGAGGUUGAGAAAUAAGGUUGCGGCCAUUUGUUCGUCAAGUUCUGCAGAUAAUCUGCACUUCGAAUCCAUUAGCUUUACUUGGUGAAAUCCUCCAAAGUCAGGCUCUGCUACAAAUUAGAAUAUUAUGUCUAUAUAUAUAUAUGUUAUAUGCUGUAAUUUCUUGGGUUUUUUAAUACUUGUAUAAUACUUGUGGUAGAAGUUGCAAUUUCGUGUUUUUGUUCGAUACAAUAAUCAGAGGUGCAUGUAGUCUAUGUUGAAAUACUCUUCAUUUGAAA
This is a long non-coding RNA of Juglans regia (Persian walnut), 1269 nucleotides long. RefSeq lists it as uncharacterized. The record is from RefSeq and is a predicted model, not a curated record. The transcript is spliced from 5 exons. Lineage: Eukaryota; Viridiplantae; Streptophyta; Magnoliopsida; Fagales; Juglandaceae.